RNAcentral lists this transfer RNA (76 nucleotides) under Thermaerobacter sp. RNAcentral describes it as "tRNA-Arg". It matches the Rfam family "tRNA". From Rfam's summary of the family: Transfer RNA (tRNA) molecules are approximately 80 nucleotides in length. Their secondary structure includes four short double-helical elements and three loops (D, anti-codon, and T loops). The record is from RNAcentral. Lineage: Bacteria; Bacillati; Bacillota; Clostridia; Eubacteriales; Clostridiales Family XVII. Incertae Sedis.
GCGCCCGUAGCUCAGUGGAUAGAGCGCUUGACUACGAAUCAAGAGGCCACAGGUUCAAGUCCUGUCGGGCGCACCA